UAAACUUGGAACGACACAUUCAUUCUGAAGGUCCUGGAAGGGAAAACAUUUCUUCAUGCAAAACUUUCCAGAUGAAACUCAGUUCCGGGAAGGCUAAAUAGGUUGGAAAGGGAGAAAAGUGGCCAGUUGAGGAAGACAGAAAAGCCUGAACGAGGAUGCAAAAUUCUAAGGAUGGAUCAUCACAGGCCCAGCCUGGAGGAGUGAAGGGCUUGGGAGCGCGAAGACGUGGAGAAGGUUCCCAGGGUUUUCCCCAGGACUCCAAAGAUACCCAGAGAAGGAGGCUUCCAGAUGAUGUAAAAUUGGGUACCAAGAAGGCAGACUUUGGAUUGUUGGGGUUGACAAGAUGGGAACACACAGCCUCGUGUGAUUUCACAGCCCUGCGAAGAGGGACGUAACCUAGCAGCACAGACACCUGUGGACACACACAGGUGAUGAGCUGUUUUUAUUAAGAGCCACAUCUGA
Non-coding RNA from Chlorocebus sabaeus (green monkey), 462 nucleotides. The record is from RefSeq and is a predicted model, not a curated record. NCBI's taxonomy places the organism in Eukaryota, Metazoa, Chordata, Mammalia, Primates, Cercopithecidae.